GCUCGUAGUCGGAUGUCGGGCUCGGGCAGGCUGUCGGCUUCGGUCGGACGGCAGGCUCGGGUCUUACUGCAUGAGGAUCCCGUUGCACUUAAUUGUGGGGCGUGGGGACACACGCCGUUUACUUUGAAAAAAUUAGAGUGUUCAAAGCAGGCCUACACUUGAAUACAUUAGCAUGGAAUAAUGGAAUAGGACUUUGGUCUUAUUUGUUGGUUAUGGGACCGAAGUAAUGAUUAACAGGGACAGUUGGGGCCGUUUAUAUUUCGUUGUCAGAGGUGAAAUUCUUGGAUUUACGAAAGAUAAACUUGUGCGAAAGCAUUCGGCAAGGAUGUUUUCAUUGAUCAAGAACGAAAGUUAGGGGAUCGAAGACGAUCAGAUACCGUCGUAGUCUUAACCAUAAACUAUGCCGACUAGGGAUCAGUGGAUGUCAAUUUGCGACUCCAUUGGCACCUUGUGAGAAAUCAAAGUUUUUGGGUUCCGGGGGGAGUAUGGUCGCAAGGCUGAAACUUAAAGGAAUUGACGGAAGGGCACCACCAGGAGUGGAGCCUGCGGCUUAAUUUGACUCAACACGGGGAAACUUACCAGGUCCAGACAUAGUAAGGAUUGACAGAUUGAAAGCUCUUUCUUGAUUCUAUGGGUG
RNAcentral lists this ribosomal RNA (637 nucleotides) under uncultured Geminigera. RNAcentral's name for it is "SSU rRNA". It matches the Rfam family "Eukaryotic small subunit ribosomal RNA", at positions 626 to 1276 of the family's 1831-position model. The record is from RNAcentral. Lineage: Eukaryota; Cryptophyceae; Pyrenomonadales; Geminigeraceae.